This 372-nucleotide unclassified non-coding RNA is filed under the name uncultured Clavaria. RNAcentral's name for it is "sequence contains ITS1". The stretch from base 1 to 105 matches the Rfam family "5.8S ribosomal RNA", at positions 50 to 154 of the family's 154-position model. The record is from RNAcentral. Lineage: Eukaryota; Fungi; Basidiomycota; Agaricomycetes; Agaricales; Clavariaceae.
GAAUUGCGAUAUGUAAUGUGAAUUGCAGAAUUCAGUGAAUCAUCGAAUCUUUGAACGCACAUUGCACCCUCUGGUAUUCCGGAGGGUAUGCCUGUUUGAGUGUCAUUAACAUGUCAACACAGAUGAGUUUUCCACACUCAUUCUGCUGCUUGGAUGUUGAAGGCUUGCUGGCAAGAAGGCAUUCUUAUUGUCAGCUCCUUUUAAAUUCAUUAGCAGGAACUUUGCAGAACUGGCUUCAGUUUGAUAAGAUUGAACUGCUGUUAGUGAAGCACAUUUGUUUCAGCUUACAAUUGUCCAGUUAUUGGACUGUCUCUCUUGAGGCAUAAACUCUGACUUGACCUCAAAUCAGGUAGGAUUACCCGCUGAACUUAA